AGUACAAGAUAAGUGAAAUUACACAUAAUAAUAUACAUUGAAGAAUAAGAAACUACAUGCAAUAACUAAUAAUAUUUACUAAGAAGAAGAAGAAAACAGGAGGCCAGCUCAUGUCUUUUCCACACUAAGUGCGACAACACUCAAUUACUACUAACCUUCUAUCGGAAUACUUAACCUCCAUACUUACUAUUUAUAAGGUCAUAUGUUCUAAGUCGGUAGAAAUUCUCCCAAUUCUUCUUUGGUCUCUCUCUAUCAUUCUCUCCUAACUUCUGCUACAAUCAAUCUCUCACACUUCCUCACUAGCGCAUACUCAUACAUCUUCACUUGUCCGAAUCAUUUCACCUGGCGCCGCGCAUCUUGUCCACCAUGAAGAACACUCUUAACUUAUUCCAUAUAACUUCAUUUCGAAUCGUAUCUCUCAUAAUAUAUCCACACAUCUUAACAACUCAUCUCCGCAAUGCAACAACGAAUAUCAAAUACCAGAUGAAAAACGUAUCCAACCAAAAUGCCAUUAGUAGUGUGUAAUUCUGUUACUAUUGUUUUUUGGUCGUCCA
This 554-nucleotide long non-coding RNA is filed under the name Capsicum annuum. Its description in RNAcentral is "long non-coding RNA (CANN_LNC009094)". The record is from RNAcentral. Lineage: Eukaryota; Viridiplantae; Streptophyta; Magnoliopsida; Solanales; Solanaceae.